CUCUUAAUUUUUUCAUUGUUAUUCUAGGAUUUAUAUCUUUAGUAACUUGUUAACGAAAUGAAGAUCUGGUUCGCAGACGCGAUUCGUUAACCUUAAACUAAAUAAUUAAUUCACCCAUGUGAUGCCCUUAAUAGCGCCUAAUUGAUUUAAGUAGUAAUCCCACUCUCCAUCUCUAUAUAAACCCUAGUGUAUGUCCUUAUGUUAAACCACACAACAACAGGAGCAAGAACAACAAAUUAAACAAAAAGAGAAUAAUGACAAAGUCAUCCAUUCUUGUUGCACUUCUCUGCAUCUGCUUCAUUCUCCUUUCUCCAACUGGUUUAAAACUAGCGGAAGCAAAGAUAUGUGAAAAGUACAGUCAAACGUGGUCGGGAAGGUGCACGAAGACGAGCCACUGCGACCGCCAGUGUAUCAAUUGGGAAGACGCUCGCCAUGGAGCAUGCCAUCAGGACAAACACGGCCGCGCUUGUUUCUGUUAUUUCAACUGCAAGAAGUAAGCGUUUUGGGCGUUUAAAACUUUUUUAUUUAUUUCGCGUUUAAAACUUCCUUUGUAAAACUUUCUAGCUAUUUAAUUAAGCAUUGUUUAUGUUGUAUUGUUUCAUCGGAAUAAUAAGUUAUGAAUCUAUUAUAUGCUGUUAUGAAUCUUGAUAUGUUGUUUGUAUCCGUAGCUCAGAUAUGUCUGUGUCAUGGUGUUUCGAAUUAAUGACCGAAUAGUGUGACAUUUGCAUGUUAUAAUAUUUUUGUCUGAGUAACCAGGGGCGGACGUACGUUACGACUAACGAGGUCAGGUGCCCCUUACUAAAUCUUGAUUUUCUUUAAGCAAUUGUAUUACAACAAGCUCAAUUUCUAUAAAGGUGUCCCCUACUAACUUAAACCUUAGCUUGAUGCCCCCGACUAAUGCCUCUUCUAGAUCCGCCCCUGGGAGUAACAAAAAAAGUCUGUACAUAUACUAAUAAAUCUGUGGAAGAAGCCUUUGUUAAAAAAGUUUCCACACCACGUCUAGGAUUCAAUUUCCUAAGAAUUAUAAUUUUUUACUGAUUAUAGAAUGUAAGAUUUAUCGGAAGUUCCAGAGUUUGAAAAAGAAAAUACUCAGUAAUCUAAAUGCAUAUUACGAUCUGAAGGCGUAUCAAUUAUCAAACUUAUGGCGCCUCUAGGAUCUAAUGAUAAAAUGAGUAUAUAUAAUAUUGUGCCUGAUUUAUUUCCAUAGCUAUGCAUUUUAGCAAGAGAGUUUGUGUAUAGUAUUUUGAAAAUAUGAAACUUGACAUUUGGUGAGAUGGAUCAAAAUUUGACAGAAAUAAUAUUUUGUGCAUAGUAUUUUGAAAAUAUGAAACUUGACAGAAGUUUUUACUGCCAAAUUAAUCAAAAUUUGAGUGCUAAAGUUUCUGCGAAUACAAAAUGAACUGUAAACACUUUUUGUUUAAUUUGAAUUCUUGAGUCUAAAGUUUCUUUGCUUUGUGUAACAUUAUCCUUAUGUAUAUUUUGGACCAUCCUAAUCACAUAUAUUUAAUGAAUCCACAUAUUGAAGACAGUGGUUUUGUCAGGGCUUCUCUACAAACUAAAUAAUUCAUCUCCUGAGAGGUAAAACAGAAAACAAAAUCUGAGAUCAAGAAGAUGAUCAGUGCUAAAAGUAAUUAAACUAUAACAUGUUCAAAACACGGCAGAUAUGCAUGCCUAGUGGCGGAGCAAACAAACUAAAGCUGAGAUUUUUUCGAGCUCUAGUGUCGUCGUCGUAGUUGAAGAAUAUAAUAUAUUUUACGUCUCAAGCUUAACUGUUUCCAUAUAUUAAAGGUGGUCUCCCAUGAGUCUGAUCCACCUUGGACCUCUACCUGGAUAUGAAGAAACGCAGUGUUCUUAUGACCCCCACGCAUUUCUUAGCCAUUUUUAGUUUUAUAUUCUCUGAUGUAUAUUUGCUUACCGUGAACAAACCAUCAAACAUUUCAAGAAACAAAACACUUAAAAAUAAAAUUAUCCAGACAUCAUCAUUCUUCUCUACACAAAAGGGUUAUAACUAAACUAAGAGAGGUAAAAAGCCGUAGAGAGAAGUUUCCUAAAACAAACGAAACAUAAAGCCGACCAUACCUAUUGACAUUCCAUAACCGGACAAUGCUCCUUCAGAGCAUUCAAAACAAAA
Long non-coding RNA from Brassica napus (rape), 2131 nucleotides. RefSeq lists it as uncharacterized. The record is from RefSeq and is a predicted model, not a curated record. NCBI's taxonomy places the organism in Eukaryota, Viridiplantae, Streptophyta, Magnoliopsida, Brassicales, Brassicaceae. The transcript is spliced from 2 exons.